AAAAUUGGCAUCAUGCCUGGCCAUAUUCACAAAAAAGGAAGGAUUGGCAUUGUGUCCAGAUCUGGCACCCUGACUUAUGAAGCAGUUCACCAAACAACGCAAGUUGGAUUGGGGCAGUCUUUGUGCGUUGGUGAGGGACUUUUGCUAAAAUCGUUUUAUUGGAGUGUGGUGUCUUCAUUGGAUGAGUAUAAUAAUAAUUAUUGAUUUUAUUAUUUGCAAAAGAUUUUGAUACUCUUAUGAAAAGGAUGUUACGAUCUCAAAUUUAAUUUGCUUAA
Molecule: small RNA, 275 nt
Filed under: Pan troglodytes (chimpanzee)
Lineage: Eukaryota; Metazoa; Chordata; Mammalia; Primates; Hominidae
Description: processed transcript
Source: RNAcentral